Molecule: ribosomal RNA, 440 nt
Filed under: uncultured bacterium
Lineage: Bacteria
Description: bacterial SSU rRNA
Rfam family: Bacterial small subunit ribosomal RNA
Source: RNAcentral
CAGGAUGAACGCUGGCGGCGUGCUUAACACAUGCAAGUCGAACGGUGAAGCCCAGCUUGCGGGGUGGAUCAGUGGCGAACGGGUGAGUAACACGUGAGCAACCUGCCCCUGACUCUGGGAUAAGCGCUGGAAACGGCGUCUAAUACUGGAUACGAACAGGAAUCGCAUGGUUACUGUUUGGAAAGAUUUUUCGGUUGGGGAUGGGCUCGCGGCCUAUCAGCUUGUUGGUGAGGUAAUGGCUCACCAAGGCGUCGACGGGUAGCCGGCCUGAGAGGGUGACCGGCCACACUGGGACUGAGACACGGCCCAGACUCCUACGGGAGGCAGCAGUGGGGAAUAUUGCACAAUGGGCGCAAGCCUGAUGCAGCAACGCCGCGUGAGGGAUGACGGCCUUCGGGUUGUAAACCUCUUUUAGCAGGGAAGAAGCGAGAGUGACGGUA